AUUGAACGCUGGCGGCAGGCCUAACACAUGCAAGUCGAACGGUAACAGGAAACAGCUUGCUGUUUCGCUGACGAGUGGCGGACGGGUGAGUAAUGUCUGGGAAACUGCCUGAUGGAGGGGGAUAACUACUGGAAACGGUAGCUAAUACCGCAUAACGUCGCAAGACCAAAGAGGGGGACCUUCGGGCCUCUGGCCAUCGGAUGUGCCCGGAUGGGAUUAGCUAGUAGGUGGGGUAACGGCUCACCUAAGCGACGAUCCCUAGCUGGUCUGAGAGGAUGACCCGCCACACUGGAACUGAGACACGGUCCAGACUCCUACGGGAGGCAGCAGUGGGAAAUAUUGCACAAUGGGCGCAAGCCUGAUGCAGCCAUGCCGCGUGUAUGAAGAAGGCCUUCGGGUUGUAAAGUACUUUCAGCGGGGAGGAAGGGAGUAAAGUCAAUACCUUUGCUCAUUGACGUUACCCGCAGAAGAAGCACCGGCUAACUCCGUGCCAGCCGCCGCAGUAA
RNAcentral lists this ribosomal RNA (506 nucleotides) under uncultured bacterium. RNAcentral describes it as "partial 16S ribosomal RNA". It matches the Rfam family "Bacterial small subunit ribosomal RNA", at positions 30 to 523 of the family's 1533-position model. The record is from RNAcentral.